This 513-nucleotide ribosomal RNA is filed under the name uncultured bacterium. Its description in RNAcentral is "partial 16S ribosomal RNA". It matches the Rfam family "Bacterial small subunit ribosomal RNA", at positions 28 to 523 of the family's 1533-position model. The record is from RNAcentral.
GACGAACGCUGGCGGCGUGCCUAAUACAUGCAAGUAGAACGCUGAAGAGAGGAGCUUGCUCUUCUUGGAUGAGUUGCGAACGGGUGAGUAACGCGUAGGUAACCUGCCUUGUAGCGGGGGAUAACUAUUGGAAACGAUAGCUAAUACCGCAUAACAAUGGGUGACACAUGUCAUUUAUUUGAAAGGGGCAAUUGCUCCACUACAAGAUGGACCUGCGUUGUAUUAGCUAGUAGGUGAGGUAACGGCUCACCUAGGCGACGAUACAUAGCCGACCUGAGAGGGUGAUCGGCCACACUGGGACUGAGACACGGCCCAGACUCCUACGGGAGGCAGCAGUAGGGAAUCUUCGGCAAUGGGGGCAACCCUGACCGAGCAACGCCGCGUGAGUGAAGAAGGUUUUCGGAUCGUAAAGCUCUGUUGUAAGUCAAGAACGAGUGUGAGAGUGGAAAGUUCACACUGUGACGGUAGCUUACCAGAAAGGGACGGCUAACUACGUGCCAGCCGCCGCGGUAA